Protopterus annectens (West African lungfish) is the source of this 124-nucleotide small nuclear RNA. The record is from RefSeq and is a predicted model, not a curated record. NCBI's taxonomy places the organism in Eukaryota, Metazoa, Chordata, Ceratodontiformes, Protopteridae.
AUGAUGUAUGGAAGGAGAAAAAGUUAGUGCUCCCCUUGAUAAGGAUGGAUGACGUCCUUGUGGCAUUUACAGCACAUAUAUGGUUAAGAAAUUGCCACUUUGUGAUGUCUAACCACCAUUUAAG